AUUGCUGCUUCAUCAGUUGCCCGAUCCUUACCAUACACUACCUCUAAUUUCCUUAAAUAAGGAAAUGAUUUCUUACGAAGGCCUAUAGCAUUAGGAUGGCUCUACAUUCAAUAUAUAAAAAAAAAUAUCAUGCCUAAAAUUGCAUACAAAGGAAAAGAAUUCCUAAUGAAUCUGAUUACAUAUAAUAAACUAUUUCUUCUUAUCUUAACCCACGGGUCAUACAAGUCCUUAUCUGCACGAAUAUACAUGUUUUGUGCAUCCCAUG
This 265-nucleotide long non-coding RNA is filed under the name Elaeis guineensis (African oil palm). RNAcentral's name for it is "long non-coding RNA (EGUI_LNC070213)". The record is from RNAcentral. Lineage: Eukaryota; Viridiplantae; Streptophyta; Magnoliopsida; Arecales; Arecaceae.